UGGGGCGUCGCCAAGUGGUAAGGCAACGGGUUUUGGUCCCGCUAUGCGGAGGUUCGAAUCCUUCCGUCCCAG
Molecule: transfer RNA, 72 nt
Filed under: Azanza lampas
Lineage: Eukaryota; Viridiplantae; Streptophyta; Magnoliopsida; Malvales; Malvaceae
Description: Thespesia lampas tRNA-Gln
Rfam family: tRNA
About the family: Transfer RNA (tRNA) molecules are approximately 80 nucleotides in length. Their secondary structure includes four short double-helical elements and three loops (D, anti-codon, and T loops).
Source: RNAcentral